RNAcentral lists this ribosomal RNA (407 nucleotides) under uncultured bacterium. RNAcentral describes it as "bacterial SSU rRNA". It matches the Rfam family "Bacterial small subunit ribosomal RNA", at positions 355 to 776 of the family's 1533-position model. The record is from RNAcentral.
UGGGGAAUAUUGCACAAUGGGGGGAACCCUGAUGCAGCAACGCCGCGUGAAGGAGGAAGUAUUUCGGUAUGUAAACUUCUAUCGACAGGGACGAAAAAAGUGACGGUACCUGAAUAAGAAGCCCCGGCUAAUUACGUGCCAGCAGCCGCGGUAAUACGUAAGGGGCGAGCGUUAUCCGGAAUUACUGGGCGUAAAGGGUGAGUAGGCGGCGCGGCAAGUCAUAUGUGAAAGCCCGAGGCUUAACCUCGGAGCUGCAUAAGAAACUGUCGAGCUAGAGUGCAGGAGAGGCAAGCGGAAUUUCUAGUGUAGCGGUGAAAUGCGUAGAUAUUAGGAAGAACACCGGUGGCGAAGGCGGCUUGCUGGACUGAAACUGACGCUGAGUCACGAAAGCGUGGGGAGCAAACAGG